UCCUGUCAUGGCCAAUGCUUCGCAUGUCACGGCAAUGCUUGCGCCGGAGCGUUCCGAAUGGCGCGGCCAAGGAUCGUGCGCAUCGGGCGAUAGGAUC
RNAcentral lists this transfer RNA (97 nucleotides) under Kozakia baliensis. RNAcentral describes it as "tRNA-Ser". The record is from RNAcentral. Lineage: Bacteria; Pseudomonadati; Pseudomonadota; Alphaproteobacteria; Acetobacterales; Acetobacteraceae.